GAUGAACGCUGGCGGCGUGCUUAACACAUGCAAGUCGAACGGAAAGGCCCAAGCUUGCUUGGGUACUCGAGUGGCGAACGGGUGAGUAACACGUGGGUGAUCUGCCCUGCACUUCGGGAUAAGCCUGGGAAACUGGGUCUAAUACCGGAUAGGACCCCAUUUUGGAUGGUGUGGUGGAAAGUUUUUCGGUGUGGGAUGAGCUCGCGGCCUAUCAGCUUGUUGGUGGGGUAAUGGCCUACCAAGGCGUCGACGGGUAGACGGCCUGAGAGGGUGUACGGCCACAUUGGGACUGAGAGACGGCCCAGAUGCCGACGGGAGGAAGAAGGGGGGAAGAUUGCACAAUGGGCGCAAGCCGGAUGCAGCGAGGCCGCGUGGGGGAUGACGGCCUUCGGGUUGUAAACUCCUUUCGCUAGGGACGAAGCGUUAUGUGACGGUACCUGGAGAAGAAGCACCGGCUAACUACGUG
RNAcentral lists this ribosomal RNA (466 nucleotides) under uncultured bacterium. RNAcentral describes it as "partial 16S ribosomal RNA". It matches the Rfam family "Bacterial small subunit ribosomal RNA", at positions 28 to 507 of the family's 1533-position model. The record is from RNAcentral.